GGACUACUAGGGUAUCUAAUCCUGUUCGCUCCCCAUGCUUUCGCUUCUCAGCGUCAGUAGUGGCCCAGAGACCUGCCUUCGCCAUCGGUGUUCCUCCUGAUAUCUGCGCAUUUCACCGCUACACCAGGAAUUCCAGUCUCCCCUACCACACUCUAGUCUGCCCGUACCCACUGCAAGUCCGGGGUUGAGCCCCGGAUUUUCACAGCAGACGCGACAAACCGCCUACAAGCUCUUUACGCCCAAUAAUUCCGGACAACGCUCGCACCCUACGUAUUACCGCGGCGGCUGGCACCC
RNAcentral lists this unclassified non-coding RNA (294 nucleotides) under uncultured fungus. Its description in RNAcentral is "sequence contains ITS1". Lineage: Eukaryota; Fungi. The record is from RNAcentral.